UGGGGAAUCUUGCGCAAUGGGCGAAAGCCUGACGCAGCAACGCCGCGUGCGGGAUGACGGCCCUCGGGUUGUAAACCGCUUUCAGUGGGGACGAACCAAGACGGUACCCACAGAAGAAGGUCCGGCCAACUACGUGCCAGCAGCCGCGGUAACACGUAGGGACCAAGCGUUGUCCGGAUUCAUUGGGCGUAAAGAGCUCGUAGGCGGCUCAGUAAGUCGGGUGUGAAACCUCCAGGCUCAACCUGGAGACGCCACCCGAUACUGCUGUGGCUAGAGUCCAGUAGGGGAGCGUGGAAUUCCUGGUGUAGCGGUGAAAUGCGCAGAUAUCAGGAGGAACACCAGCGGCGAAGGCGGCGCUCUGGGCUGGAACUGACGCUGAGGAGCGAAAGCGUGGGGAGCGAACAGG
Molecule: ribosomal RNA, 406 nt
Filed under: uncultured bacterium
Lineage: Bacteria
Description: bacterial SSU rRNA
Rfam family: Bacterial small subunit ribosomal RNA
Source: RNAcentral